UUACUCCUACGGGAGGCAGCAGUAGGGAAUCUUCCACAAUGGACGAAAGUCUGAUGGAGCAACGCCGCGUGAGUGAAGAAGGUUUUCGGAUCGUAAAACUCUGUUGUUGGAGAAGAAUGUAUCUGAUAGUAACUGAUCAGGUAGUGACGGUAUCCAACCAGAAAGCCACGGCUAACUACGUGCCAGCAGCCGCGGUAAUA
This 200-nucleotide ribosomal RNA is filed under the name uncultured bacterium. Its description in RNAcentral is "partial 16S ribosomal RNA". It matches the Rfam family "Bacterial small subunit ribosomal RNA", at positions 333 to 525 of the family's 1533-position model. The record is from RNAcentral.